This 347-nucleotide ribosomal RNA is filed under the name uncultured Bacillota bacterium. Its description in RNAcentral is "bacterial SSU rRNA". It matches the Rfam family "Bacterial small subunit ribosomal RNA", at positions 28 to 351 of the family's 1533-position model. The record is from RNAcentral. Lineage: Bacteria; Bacillati; Bacillota.
GACGAACGCUGGCGGCGUGCUUAACACAUGCAAGUCGAACGGAUAUCACUGAGGAAGCUUGCGAAUUAGUGAUGUUAGUGGCGGACGGGUGAGUAACGCGUGGAUAACCUGCCCUAAAGACCGGGACAACACCGGGAAACUGGUGCUAAUACCGGAUGUGCUCAAUGAGUGACAUCGCUUAUUGAGGAAAGGUGGCCUCUGAAAAUGCUACCGCUUUGGGAUGGAUCCGCGUCUGAUUAGCUAGUUGGUGAGGUAACGGCCCACCAAGGCGACGAUCAGUAGCCGGCCUGAGAGGGUGAUCGGCCACACUGGGACUGAGACACGGCCCAGACUCCUACGGGAGGCUG